Molecule: ribosomal RNA, 481 nt
Filed under: uncultured soil bacterium
Lineage: Bacteria
Description: bacterial SSU rRNA
Rfam family: Bacterial small subunit ribosomal RNA
Source: RNAcentral
AGGACGAACGCUGGCGGCGUGCUUAACACAUGCAAGUCGAGCGGUAAGGCCUUUCGGGGUACACGAGCGGCGAACGGGUGAGUAACACGUGGGUGAUCUGCCCUGCACUUCGGGAUAAGCCUGGGAAACUGGGUCUAAUACCGGAUAUGACCUCCUAUCGCAUGGUGGGUGGUGGAAAGAUUUAUCGGUGCAGGAUGGGCCCGCGGCCUAUCAGCUUGUUGGUGGGGUAAUGGCCUACCAAGGCGACGACGGGUAGCCGACUGAGAGGGUGACCGGCCACACUGGGACUGAGACACGGCCCAGACUCCACGGGAGCAGCAGGUGGGAAUAUGCAACAAUGGGACGAAAGCCUGAUGCAGCGACGCCGCGUGGAGGAUGGACGGCCGUUUCGGGUUGUAAACCUUCUUCAGCAGGGACAAGCGCAAGUGACGGUCGACCUGACAAGAAGAAGCCGAACCGGUACUAACUACGGUCACCGAGC